CAUGGUUUUUCUGAACCCAUGAAAAAUGCUGAUAUGCUGACUGUACUGGGAAGAAUGCAAUAUUAAUCACAGUAGAGCUGCAAUUACAAAUAUAUUUCAGCUAAGCACAAAGGAUAAUCUCUCACACUUAAGGCACUGGUGGGGUGGGUGACCAGCAAAGUGGAUGACCAACUCUGUUCAGAAGACCUUAAUGAUGACAGCAAUACUUCCACAUAUGGAUUUUCAUUAUGAAACUCUGCCUUGCUUGUGUCUGAAGCAAGGUCUCCUACCAGGUAAGUAAGUGACACAAACCCUGCACGUCAGUCAGGCUCCCCUUCCAGCCGUGCCUACAGG
This 333-nucleotide long non-coding RNA is filed under the name Anser brachyrhynchus (Pink-footed goose). RNAcentral's name for it is "lncRNA (ENSABRG00000005026.1)". Lineage: Eukaryota; Metazoa; Chordata; Aves; Anseriformes; Anatidae. The record is from RNAcentral.